Non-coding RNA from Sturnus vulgaris (Common starling), 272 nucleotides. The record is from RefSeq and is a predicted model, not a curated record. Lineage: Eukaryota; Metazoa; Chordata; Aves; Passeriformes; Sturnidae.
CUGCAAGCAAUAAGGAGGUUCUGGAGUCCACCAAAAACAAGUGAUCCAAGUGAUACAGCAACAAGAAAAGCAAGCUGAAGAUGACUGCUUAAAAAGAAUGAUCAGCUGCAUUUUUCAUCUUAAAUCAGCUGGAUUCCUUACAAUGACAAUAACGUCUGUGUUGAAGGUGUUGGACCUUGACUGUUGACCUGAUACAAGGAUAAUAGAAUGCAGGAUACGAGCCCUGAGAAGUCUCCGUCUCAGUGCUAAGAGAGGACUGAAGAAUCUGCACA